CUGAAUUCACUAUACGGUUAAGAGUAACUUGCUUAGACUGCUGAAUAUCCUUCACUUUAGCGAGCUGUAGGACAAACUACAUUCAGAAGGAGAAAGGAAACUUUGAAUAGAAGGAUCAGUGCCUGUAGCAGUCCUGGAGUUAGGUUAUGAUGGUCGUGAUGAGCUCUACUAGAAAGAAAAUCUCUUCUAUUCAUAGAUGAAGUCCUAUCUAAGGGCCUUCGUUUCCCUUGAAUUCCGUUCCCUAGUUCAAUCCGGAACUCCAAAUAUGUAAGUAGCGGCCAAGCGGCUCUGUCCUUUUCAAAGAGGUUAUCCUUCUCUCUCCCCGCUUCCU
Molecule: long non-coding RNA, 331 nt
Filed under: Capsicum annuum
Lineage: Eukaryota; Viridiplantae; Streptophyta; Magnoliopsida; Solanales; Solanaceae
Description: long non-coding RNA (CANN_LNC019455)
Source: RNAcentral